RNAcentral lists this long non-coding RNA (243 nucleotides) under Trifolium pratense (red clover). RNAcentral describes it as "long non-coding RNA (TPRA_LNC012390)". Lineage: Eukaryota; Viridiplantae; Streptophyta; Magnoliopsida; Fabales; Fabaceae. The record is from RNAcentral.
ACAUGCAUUAGAUAUGUCUAGGGUGACAUUGCAUGAAGUUGACGCAUUAGAAUGCAUUAGGUUAUGUGUACAUUUAUGUGAUAAGUGAUAUGUGACACAUACUUGGCUAAUUGUGAUAAUUGAUUGUGUGAGUAUUCGAUUAUAUGUGUUGAUGUACUUAUAAUUGAAUGGUAGAUUGUUGAUGAAUAUGGAUGAAUGUAUGAUAUAUGCAUGAUUAUAGAAGAAGUGUUUAAGUACUCUUUU